Molecule: non-coding RNA, 390 nt
Organism: Gasterosteus aculeatus aculeatus (three-spined stickleback)
Lineage: Eukaryota; Metazoa; Chordata; Actinopteri; Perciformes; Gasterosteidae
Source: RefSeq, a predicted model, not a curated record
AUGAUGGUAAAAUUAGUCUUUUGGAGCCUCCUGUCCCAACAGAACCACAGGCAGUUGAUGAUGGGGAUGAAGAAACAGUUUCUGCUGCCACAGAGAUGCCUACAGAGAGUGUGGAAGAACAGCAAGAGGAUGGUCCAUCAACUUCUGGUGCACAGAUGAACACAGUUCAGUGAUUUUUUUUUUUCAGUAAAUGCCACAGUUUAAUAUUGUAGAAUUUUAGAACUACAUGAUGUAACUGUAAUCUACUGUAUUUUCAGUUGCCAGUUAAGGAGUUAUAUAGACUUCUUCUUAUUAAAAAGAUAGAAAAAAACAGCAAAGAACUUGUAUACUUGGACCGCCAGAUCCAAAAGGCAGAUCUGGAAAUUGAGAUUCUGAAACUAAAGCUAGAGG